AGGUUCGUGAUUUAACAUGCAAGUCGAACGCGUUGGUCCAAUUGAUUGAUGGUGCUUGCACCUGAUUGAUUUUGGUCGCCAACGAGUGGCGGACGGGUGAGUAACACGUAGGUAACCUGCCCAGAAGCGGGGGACAACAUUUGGAAACAGAUGCUAAUACCGCAUAACAGCGUUGUUCGCAUGAACAACGCUUAAAAGAUGGCUUCUCGCUAUCACUUCUGGAUGGACCUGCGGUGCAUUAGCUUGUUGGUGGGGUAAUGGCCUACCAAGGCGAUGAUGCAUAGCCAAGUUGAGAGACUGAUCGGCCACAAUGGGACUGAGACACGGCCCAUACUCCUACGGGAGGCAGCAGUAGGGAAUCUUCCACAAUGGGCGCAAGCCUGAUGGAGCAACACCGCGUGAGUGAAGAAGGGUUUCGGCUCGUAAAGCUCUGUUGUUAAAGAAGAACACGUAUGAGAGUAACUGUUCAUACGUUGACGGUAUUUAACCAGAAAGUCACGGCUAACUACGUGCCAGCAGCCGCGGUAAUACGUAGGUGGCAAGCGUUAUCCGGAUUUAUUGGGCGUAAAGAGAGUGCAGGCGGUUUUCUAAGUCUGAUGUGAAAGCCUUCGGCUUAACCGGAGAAGUGCAUCGGAAACUGGAUAACUUGAGUGCAGAAGAGGGUAGUGGAACUCCAUGUGUAGCGGUGGAAUGCGUAGAUAUAUGGAAGAACACCAGUGGCGAAGGCGGCUACCUGGUCUGCAACUGACGCUGAGACUCGAAAGCAUGGGUAGCGAACAGGAUUAGAUACCCUGGUAGUCCAUGCCGUAAACGAUGAGUGCUAGGUGUUGGAGGGUUUCCGCCCUUCAGUGCCGGAGCUAACGCAUUAAGCACUCCGCCUGGGGAGUACGACCGCAAGGUUGAAACUCAAAGGAAUUGACGGGGGCCCGCACAAGCGGUGGAGCAUGUGGUUUAAUUCGAAGCUACGCGAAGAACCUUACCAGGUCUUGACAUCUUGCGCCAACCCUAGAGAUAGGGCGUUUCCUUCGGGAACGCAAUGACAGGUGGUGCAUGGUCGUCGUCAGCUCGUGUCGUGAGAUGUUGGGUUAAGUCCCGCAACGAGCGCAACCCUUGUUACUAGUUGCCAGCAUUAAGUUGGGCACUCUAGUGAGACUGCCGGUGACAAACCGGAGGAAGGUGGGGGAGAAAAUCAAAUAAUCAUGGCCCCUUAUGAACUGGGGGUAACAACCUGGUUACAAUGGAAGGUGACAACAAAUUCCCAG
RNAcentral lists this ribosomal RNA (1262 nucleotides) under Limosilactobacillus fermentum. Its description in RNAcentral is "bacterial SSU rRNA". It matches the Rfam family "Bacterial small subunit ribosomal RNA", at positions 40 to 1253 of the family's 1533-position model. Lineage: Bacteria; Bacillati; Bacillota; Bacilli; Lactobacillales; Lactobacillaceae. The record is from RNAcentral.